RNAcentral lists this ribosomal RNA (254 nucleotides) under uncultured bacterium. Its description in RNAcentral is "partial 16S ribosomal RNA". It matches the Rfam family "Bacterial small subunit ribosomal RNA", at positions 524 to 776 of the family's 1533-position model. The record is from RNAcentral.
UACGUAGGUGGCAAGCGUUGUCCGGAAUUAUUGGGCGUAAAGCGCGCGCAGGCGGCCUCUUAAGUCUGAUGUGAAAGCCCCCCGGCUCAACCGGGGAGGGCCGUUGGAAACUGGGAGGCUUGAGUAUAGGAGAGAAGAGUGGAAUUCCACGUGUAGCGGUGAAAUGCGUAGAGAUGUGGAGGAACACCAGUGGCGAAGGCGACUCUUUGGCCUAUAACUGACGCUGAGGCGCGAAAGCGUGGGGAGCAAACAGG